RNAcentral lists this ribosomal RNA (299 nucleotides) under Salmonella enterica subsp. enterica serovar Infantis. RNAcentral describes it as "partial 23S ribosomal RNA". Lineage: Bacteria; Pseudomonadati; Pseudomonadota; Gammaproteobacteria; Enterobacterales; Enterobacteriaceae. The record is from RNAcentral.
GGGUUGUGAGGUUAAGCGACUAAGCGUACACGGUGGAUGCCCUGGCAGUCAGAGGCGAUGAAGGRCGUGCUAAUCUGCGAUAAGCGCCGGUAAGGUGAUAUGAACCGUUAUAACCGGCGAUACCCGAAUGGGGAAACCCAGUGUGAUUCGUCACACUAUCAUUAACUGAAUCCAUAGGUUAAUGAGGCGAACCGGGGGAACUGAAACAUCUAAGUACCCCGAGGAAAAGAAAUCAACCGAGAUUCCCCCAGUAGCGGCGAGCGAACGGGGAGGAGCCCAGAGCCUGAAUCAGCAUGUGU